GUUGGCUUUGCUUCGUCUUCCUUCAUUGCCCAAGUGCUGGAACAAGGAAAGAUCUCCUUUGAACCUCAGUGGGUUGUGAUCCUUUGGAGACAAGCUCCUCAGCUCUCUCCAGCAGGACCCAGUCUCACUUGUGCCAUACAGGUUUGUGGCUUUCACUGUCGCAGCGCCUGCAGAUUUUAAAGCCUUUGGCCAACGAGCGUUGAUUUCAGCGUGCUUUAAUGGGGUCUUGGAUGUCUUAGUAUCACAUGUGUGUCAGAUGAUACUUCUACACACAAAAAAUGAGUCAUUUUUGAAAAUGUGCAAGGUGGUAUUAGCCACGGUUGGCUUCCUUCCAUAAGGUGGAUUGUUAGCCCAUAUGAGAUGCUUCAGGAGAACCUGGAGGCUUUUGCUCUUCUCAAAGAAAUGGGUUAUUCUGGUAUUGAGAGUGCUGUGUGGAGGGAGUGAGGAGGGAAGGAAGGAUGGGAGAGGGCUGCCAUCACUGUGUCUUUAUGCUCUGCAUAUGUUAAUGCUGGGAUCUGUAAGGAAAGUGUUCUUGAAACUGGAGAACGGAGAAGGUGGGAAGAGAAACCUGUGUUUGAGAUCGCAUAGAAUUGUGCAUAUGGCCAGACAGCUUGGAGGCAUUGCAGGAUUUCAUCCGUGGUAAUACUUGGCCUGGGACUGCCAUCUUGUUUUCCUUCCUCUCUUCGUGUGUUUGUUUGUUUUGGCCUCAUUUUGUAUCUUUUUAGCCAUCUUCCUUUCCCUGACUUAUUUCUCUCGCUCCCAACCCCCUCCUCUUGCUGGCCUGACCCCUGUGGGCUGUAACCCAAGAGGAGCUCCGGAUACAGUAAAUAGUCCUUUCACUUGUGCAGCAGAAUUGCUCCAGACGUUUCUAUUGAUUUUCACUGGACUUAAAGCUUCACCUUUUUCUCUAAUCAUCCCAUAAUGGCUUUAGUAUGAUCAAUCAGGUACGAAUUGCCAUAAAUCUAAGCAGCUGCAUACCUUCCAUUCACACAUGCUAUCUACUCAUUGCCUUCUUUCUCUCUUUUUUAUAUUUUCUUCUGUCCUCAUACUUUUCCCCACUUUUCUUCAAAUGCAGUGAGAUUGUUUUAUAUCAAAAGACAUGUGUAAGCAGAUCAUAUUUUUUGGUUUUUGAUUGUUUCUCAGUUAUUUUUCCUUAAGCACUUUAAAACUUGACAUUGAAUGGUACAGUAUCCCACCCAUGUCACGGUGCAGAUACAUUAUAUUUCAAAACUCCUGGGAUUUUCCUAGGAGUGAGCAGCUCCAGCAUAUUCAGAGAGGAAGGAUGUCACCAGGACCAUUUCAGGUUUGCCUAGAAAUGUGAUUGUUGGACUUUUCUGAAGUUGAUAGGGAAGUGGUGAGUUGAAGAACGGAACACAUUUCUGCUGAGCUUGCCCUCAAGACCAAGGUAUCAGUGGUGGGAACCAGUGUAAUGCAGGAGUCUAACUCUGAAGUGAUCAGGUCUCUUCCCUCAUGCUUCUGCUCAGAUAUGCAAGGGACCUGAGACAGUAAAAUGGCCUUGGAAGCUGAGGUCAUAAGUAUUGCACCAAGGCUUUAAAAAGCCAGCUGAGGAAUCAAGUCUUGUGUGUGGAGUUCAAUUUGGGAUACAAUAGAGGUAUUUGAAGACUCUGAGUUUUAACACUUAACAUCGUUCUCUUAAAUUACUAGAAGUUCUUGAUCUAGACUCUUCAUCGAUAGUGGUUUCUACUGGAGAAGAACCAGUCAGGGUACUAGAGCUCUAGAGACGCUGCAACUGGAGAAAAGAUUGGAGGACAUCCAUAAACACUUGUACCUCACGCACUAAGAUUCCUGUAACGUUCUGCUCAGGUGAAGAGGAACUGUUAUUUUUGAGGUUCGUAAGAGGCCUGGCAGUUCUGAGUCCUGCUUUGCUUCUGAUGUGAAAGCAGUGAAACACUAAAGAAUAACACACAUCAGAGUAGUGAAAUCCAUUGCAUGGUCCAUACAUGAGUGCAGCAGAAAUGCUAAGUCACAUCCUGAAGCAGUGAUGGAGCACCUGGUGCGAAGGCAGGGCCAGCCCAGGGGAGCUCAGCUGCCAGCAGUGCACCUGAGUGACUAGAAGGGGUGGAGUCAGGAUGCAGCCCUUCCCAGCUGCAUUUAAGGGUUGGCAGUGGAGGUGAGAGCAUCCUGCUGGAGAUCCCUACCUACCUGAGGCUGUCUAGGGGUGAGCAGGUUCUUUCUUUUGUUUCUGCGCCCACUGCUGUGGUGUUUGAGUGUAUCCUUAUUUGCUGUAGCCUGGGACUUUGCUGCUACAUUGUCACUGCUGUGCUUUCCAUCAUGUCACUGUGUUACAAUGAGCUUUCUCCUUUGUCUGUAUUAAGUCUUGAAAUGCACAGUAUGGGAUUUUCUUUGUUUUGAUAAACUUCAGAUUACUUUACCAUAAAAUGUAGCUCAUGUUGCUCUGCCUGGUAGCUCACCUGCCUGCAGUGGCAGAGGACAGCAGAAGGCAGGAUUCACAGCAUCCUGUACCAGCAUCGUGGGAAUCAGUGCUUGACCCUUGUGGAUAAAGUCAGCUGUUUUCUGAGUCCUCCAUGCAGGUCUUGCCAUCUUCAGAGUGGUUGUAAUGCUGUGUCUCCUUUGAUAGCUGAAAAGGUGCAGUGGGAGUGGGGGUAGUUCACAGAAUGGUUUCUCUUCUCUCAGGCCUUGGUGUGGUCUGCAGUAAAUUGAGAUUGAUUGGAUGUUAUUUUUCCUCUUGCUAAUGUAAUCCAUUAGCCUGGCACAUGCAUAAUCAGUUUAGAGCACAGUUAACUGGAUGUAAUCGAGUUCUUCCCUGCCUGCUGGAGAAAAUCCUCUCCAGAUGCUGCUGGGUGAGAGUGCGUACUAGGCUUAUCACACACAAUCCUCCUUAUUCUGCUGCUUUUUUUUUUUUUUUGGUGCCAUUUUCAUCUUGAAUUAUCUGUUUUUGGCUUCUUGUGUUGCCCAAGAGCUUCUUCUGUUGGUGCUACUUGUUGCCAGAAAUGUCAUCUGGAGACGCUGUUACCCGUAAUCUGGUGAACCUUUCAGAUUCUCCUGCAUUGCUUCCAGUGUUGGAGGAGAAGGUUUGGUAUUCUGCUGCCAUCUUUGUCCUGCACAUCGUAAUAGCUCUCAUCAGCACUCUUCCCAUGUCAGUGGCACAGCCGUGGGGUCCAACGAGGAACCAGCAGGGUCUUGUGAUCGUUUAUCCUUUUGUUCCCCAGUGUCCCUGUUGUCCCACUAAAAUCCUGGAACUAAUCUGGAAAUUCUGUUAUUUAUCUGUCGCUUUGUGGGAGUGUGCUGUACUUGUGCCUCUGACCAUGUUUUUCCUCAUCUCCUUUGUGUGAGUGGUGGUGGUCAUUUUCUCAGUGAAACUUCCUGGAAAGCAGGAGUAAACGUGUGAUGACAUUGCUAAGGUGGCAGGAGGUGGCUGUGGAGGUUUGGGAUUGAUGGCAGCUCGGAGGACCCGUCUUGUCCUGGCUAGGACAGCCUGAUGAGCAUGGUGCACCAGUGGGGUUGAGUUGUGUCGCUGGUUUGAGCAGAUGGGCGGAGAUUGUGUGGACUCCUCACAAGUGCAGGCUUAGUGCAGCAGAAGCUAAGUCUUGUGUCCUCGUGAGCGCUAGAGUCUGAACCAGGCUUGCAGCAAAGCUGUAUGCCCCGCAUCUGGAAGAGGUCAGGCAUGAGUUCCCAACAUCUAUUGCACAGGUGGAAUUUCCAGAAGGGAUCAGUCUGCGAGAGCAAGAGCCAAGUUUGAAUGUUUCCUACAGCUUCCUGAAAACCUCUAGUUCAAAACCUGAACUCCGUCAGAAGAGGUGUAAACAAAGAACAACUGAAGAAACAUUGCUGGCCGGACUGCCAAGUGGGUGCACGUGUUCAGUUCAUUCGGUGUCUUCCUCUUCUGCCUUUUCAAGCACUAAGUUAACUUUUCCAGAGAAUGGGAUCUGAAGGAGGUGGAAUGGGGUUUGGGCUACAGGAUGGCCCUUCAGAGAGGUACUUUGUUAACAAGGAGAUGCAGAGCAAAUGGGAAGAAGACUCCUUAAUGUCAGUAAUCAAGAAACUAGCAACAAUGAAACUUGCUGGAUCUAUGCUGUCGUGGAAAGAUGACCAGAACAGAAGGGCAGCUGCAGACCCAGCUGGGGGUGGUGGCCGUCCCCUUCCACCACCGAGCAGCACUCACCUCCUGCCUGCCCUGCAGGAAUGUGAUUGUGUCCUUUGGAAGCAGAGGCUGAACAGGAGCGCCCGAGCUGUUGGUGUCUGCCAGAUUGAUCAGACCUGAUUGAGAACCUCUUAAAGGAACGAACAGCUGUAAUGGGAAAGUUGGACUCUGUCAUCCGUUAGGAUGAUUCUGGGAGCGAGAAGAACGAGGCUGACAUCUUGGAGCAAUUGUAUUUACAAUUAACAUGGCUGAAAACGAUUGCCUCUAUUGAUCCCCCCUUCCUGCAAUUACAGCCCCAUUGUUUACAUUCCAGCACUUCGGUUAUAAAAAGGAAAUUCAAUAAUUAUUGCAUUAUUUAAAGUUAAAGUGCCACAGAGUUUGCUGGCUACGCUUGCUGGUUGAUUUAACGUUCAGUAAAAUCCAUGCUGAGCUCUCCAUCUUUAGGCUGAGCAAUAUUUGGCUUUUAAUGAGACUUCAAGGGCUGGUGGAGCAAACACAAAGUGCUGCUGGGGGAACCCCAUGGUGUUCUGGAGUGGCUGGUGCCGGCCUUAUGCCCUGGUCCCUGCCCGGACCCAGGGCAUGGCUCCUGUCCUGUGCUGAGAUAGCACUGGGCUGCCUCUGGGAGAUGCUGACAGUUGUUCUGCCUUGUACAGUAUCUCUGACCUCACCCUAAGUGUGCCAGGUCUCUGCUAAGCUGCCCUGUGCGUUGCUGCUGGGAUCCUCUGUGAGGAGAGGGGCUUGUUGUUUCCGUAUGUGAAAAUACG
Numida meleagris (helmeted guineafowl) is the source of this 4887-nucleotide long non-coding RNA. RefSeq lists it as uncharacterized. The record is from RefSeq and is a predicted model, not a curated record. Lineage: Eukaryota; Metazoa; Chordata; Aves; Galliformes; Numididae. The transcript is spliced from 2 exons.